CCCCGGCUGCCUCUCUCCAUGCGGGAGGCCGGGGCCUCUGGGCCGCCCUCGGAAGCUCCUGCCCUGACCCUGCACCUUCUGGCUCCCGAAGAGACCGCUGGGCUGGGGGCGAGGGCUCCCCGCAGCGCAGGGGGACCCGGGCGGGGCCCCCCACG
Long non-coding RNA from Pipistrellus kuhlii (Kuhl's pipistrelle), 155 nucleotides. RefSeq lists it as uncharacterized. The transcript is spliced from 3 exons. The record is from RefSeq and is a predicted model, not a curated record. NCBI's taxonomy places the organism in Eukaryota, Metazoa, Chordata, Mammalia, Chiroptera, Vespertilionidae.